This 423-nucleotide ribosomal RNA is filed under the name uncultured archaeon. Its description in RNAcentral is "partial 16S ribosomal RNA". It matches the Rfam family "Archaeal small subunit ribosomal RNA", at positions 323 to 746 of the family's 1478-position model. The record is from RNAcentral.
CUACGGGGCGCAGCAGGCGAGAAAACUUUGCAACGUGCGAAAGCACGACAAGGUUAAUCCGAGUGGUUUGUGCUAAACGAACCUUUUGACAGUCCUAGAAACACUGUUGAAUAAGGGGUGGGCAAGUUCUGGGUGUCAGCCGCCGCGGUAAAACCAGCACCUCAAGUGGUCAGGAUGAUUAUUGGGCCUAAAGCAUCCGUAGCCGGCUCUGUAAGUUUUCGGUUAAAUCUGUACGCUCAACGUACAGGCUGCCGGGAAUACUGCAGAGCUAGGGAGUGGGAGAGGUAGACGGUACUCGGUAGGAAGGGGUAAAAUCCUUUGAUCUAUUGAUGACCACCUGUGGCGAAGGCGGUCUACCAGAACACGUCCGACGGUGAGGGAUGAAAGCUGGGGGAGCAAACCGGAUUAGAUACCCCGGUAGUC